CCUACGGGUGGCUGCAGUGAGGAAUAUUGGUCAAUGGGCGGAAGCCUGAACCAGCCAAGUCGCGUGAGGGAUUAAGGCCCUGCGGGUCGUAAACCUCUUUUGCCGGGGAGCAGAGGUCCGGACGUGUCCGGGCCGGGAGAUUACCCGGAGAAAAAGCAUCGGCUAACUCCGUGCCAGCAGCCGCGGUAUUACGGGGGAUGCGGGCGUUAUCCGGAUUUAUUGGGUUUAAAGGUUGCGUAGGCGGGCAUUUAACCCGUCGGUCAAGUGUCGGGGCUCAACCCCGGCCUGCCGUCGGAACUGGGUGCCUUGAGUGGGCGAGAAGUAUGCGGAAUGCGUGGUGUAGCGGUGAAAUGCAUAGAUAUCACGCAGAACCCCGAUUGCGAAGGCAGCAUACCGGCGCCCUACUGACGCUGAGGCACGAAAGUGCGGGUAUCGAACAGGAUUAGAUACCCCGGUAGUC
RNAcentral lists this ribosomal RNA (460 nucleotides) under uncultured bacterium. RNAcentral describes it as "partial 16S ribosomal RNA". It matches the Rfam family "Bacterial small subunit ribosomal RNA", at positions 338 to 795 of the family's 1533-position model. The record is from RNAcentral.